GCGUUGCUUGAGCAUUGGCAGGCUCACCCGGCUGUAAACCGGACGCCCUCGGGCCUCGCGGGUUCAACUCCCGCGUGACGCA
RNAcentral lists this transfer RNA (82 nucleotides) under Pseudoclavibacter sp. RFBA6. Its description in RNAcentral is "tRNA-Tyr". It matches the Rfam family "tRNA". Rfam says of the family: Transfer RNA (tRNA) molecules are approximately 80 nucleotides in length. Lineage: Bacteria; Bacillati; Actinomycetota; Actinomycetes; Micrococcales; Microbacteriaceae. The record is from RNAcentral.